Molecule: ribosomal RNA, 305 nt
Filed under: uncultured bacterium
Lineage: Bacteria
Description: bacterial SSU rRNA
Rfam family: Bacterial small subunit ribosomal RNA
Source: RNAcentral
CCUACGGGGGGCAGCAGUGAGGAAUAUUGGUCAAUGGGCGAGAGCCUGAACCAGCCAAGUCGCGUGAAGGAUGACGGCCCUACGGGUUGUAAACUUCUUUUGUCAGGGAGCAAUUGAGUCCACGUGUGGUCUUAGCGAGAGUACCUGAAGAAAAAGCAUCGGCUAACUCCGUGCCAGCAGCCGCGGUAAUACGGAGGAUGCGAGCGUUAUCCGGAUUUAUUGGGUUUUAAGGGUGCGUAGGCGGCCUGUUAAGUCAGCGGUGAAAUCUAGGAGCUUAACUCCUAAAUUGCCAUUGAUACUGGCGG